RNAcentral lists this ribosomal RNA (384 nucleotides) under uncultured bacterium. Its description in RNAcentral is "partial 16S ribosomal RNA". The record is from RNAcentral.
CUUAUCGCUUUCGCUUGGACGCUGACUGUGUAUCGCCAACAUCGAGUGAUCAUCGUUUACGGCGUGGACUACCAGGGUAUCUAAUCCUGUUUGAUCCCCACGCUUUCGUGCCUGAGCGUCAGUUGUAGCUUAGUGAGCUGCCUUCGCUAUCGGUGUUCUGUGACAUAUCUAUGCAUUUCACCGCUACAUGAUACAUUCCGCCCACUUCAAUUAGACUCAAGACUAUCAGUAUCAAAGGCAGUUCCACGGUUGAGCCGGAACAUUUCACCUCUGACUUACUAGUCCGCCUGCGCACCCUUUAAACCCAAUGAAUCCGGAUAACGCUUGCAUCCUCCGUAUUACCGCGGCUGCUGGCACGGAGUUAGCCGAUGCUUAUUCUUCAGG